RNAcentral lists this ribosomal RNA (433 nucleotides) under uncultured bacterium. RNAcentral's name for it is "partial 16S ribosomal RNA". It matches the Rfam family "Bacterial small subunit ribosomal RNA", at positions 29 to 507 of the family's 1533-position model. The record is from RNAcentral.
AGCGAACGCUGGCGGCAGGCCUAACACAUGCAAGUCGAAUGGAUCCUUCGGGAUUAGUGGCGGACGGGUGAGUAACACGUGGGAACGUGCCCUUUGGUUCGGAACAACUCAGGGAAACUUGAGCUAAUACCGGAUGUGCCCUUCGGGGGAAAGAUUUAUCGCCAUUGGAGCGGCCCGCGUCUGAUUAGCUAGUUGGUGAGGUAACGGCCCACCAAGGCGACGAUCAGUAGCUGGUCUGAGAGGAUGAUCAGCCACACUGGGACUGAGACACGGCCCAGACUCCUACGGGAGGCAGCAGUGGGGAAUCUUGCGCAAUGGGCGAAAGCCUGACGCAGCCAUGCCGCGUGAAUGAUGAAGGUCUUAGGAUUGUAAAAUUCUUUCAGCGGGGACGAUAAUGACGGUACCCGCAGAAGAAGCUCCGGCUAACUUCGUG